AUGCAAGUCGAACGAGAAAGUGGAGCAAUCCAUGAGUACAGUGGCGUACGGGUGAGUAACACGUGACUAACCUACCCUCGAGUGGGGAAUAACUUCGGGAAACCGAGGCUAAUACCGCAUAACAUCUACGGAUCAAAUGCGCAAGCAGCUUGAGGAGGGGGUCGCGGCUGAUUAGCUAGUUGGCGGGGUAACGGCCCACCAAGGCAAUGAUCAGUAGCCGGCCUGAGAGGGCGCACGGCCACACUGGAACUGAAACACGGUCCAGACUCCUACGGGAGGCAGCAGUGGGGAAUUUUGCGCAAUGGGGGAAACCCUGACGCAGCAACGCCGCGUGGAGGAUGAAGCCCCUUGGGGUGUAAACUCCUUUCGAUCGGGACGAUUAUGACGGUACCGGAUGAAGAAGCACCGGCUAACUCUGUGCCAGCAGCCGCGGUAAUACAGAGGGUGCAAGCGUUGUUCGGAAUUAUUGGGCGUAAAGGGUGCGUANGCGGUGCGGUAAGUCUUCUGUGAAACCUCC
RNAcentral lists this ribosomal RNA (517 nucleotides) under uncultured bacterium. RNAcentral's name for it is "bacterial SSU rRNA". It matches the Rfam family "Bacterial small subunit ribosomal RNA", at positions 55 to 604 of the family's 1533-position model. The record is from RNAcentral.